GGAUGAAUAUUUAAAGUUAUAAUACUUGAUUUGCGUUCAAGAGGUGAUGUGUCUU
RNAcentral lists this transfer RNA (55 nucleotides) under Mesobuthus gibbosus (Mediterranean checkered scorpion). Its description in RNAcentral is "transfer RNA-Ala". The record is from RNAcentral. Lineage: Eukaryota; Metazoa; Arthropoda; Arachnida; Scorpiones; Buthidae.